GUAGGUGAACCUGCGGAAGGAUCAUUAAAGGGUGGGCGGGGCGUGCGCGAGUGCGUGUGCGAAAGCGCAUGCACGGACGCGUGUCCCUGCCCUUACCAUUCAUAUUCACUUGACACCUGUGUUCCGGUCUCGUGCUCGUACCGCUUUGGGCGGUGUCGGGGACGGUGUGCGUGAUGCGUAUGUGUGUGUGUGUGUGUGCGGUGCUGGCGGGUGCUCUUUUGUACACGCCUACACUGCGCCACGCGCGCUCGCUCCUCUCACGUAUGCCGCGUCGACGGGUUGCGCGCGCUCGUCGCGUGUGACAGCCGCCCAAGCGUGUUCUUUUAAACAUCAUUGUCGUGGUCCCGUACCAGUCUGAUAUAACGCAUGCUUCGCGGCGUGCAGUGUAACACAAACACAACUGUUAGCAAUGGAUCACUCGGUUCUC
This 427-nucleotide unclassified non-coding RNA is filed under the name rhizosphere metagenome. RNAcentral describes it as "partial ribosomal RNA internal transcribed spacer region". The record is from RNAcentral.